GGAGGGUGCAAGCGUUGUUCGGAAUUAUUGGGCGUAAAGAGCGUGCAGGCGGUUCGGUAAGUCAGAUGUGAAAGCCCUGGGCUCAACCCAGGAAGUGCAUUUGAAACUACCAGACUUGAGUACGGGAGAGGAGGGGGAAUUCCCGGUGUAGAGGUGAAAUUCGUAGAUAUCGGGAGGAAUACCAGUGGCGAAGGCGCCCCUCUGGACCGAUACUGACGCUGAGACGCGAAAGCGUGGGGAGCAAACAGGAUUAGAUACCCUGGUAGUCCACGCCGUAAACGAUGAGCACUAGGUGUAGCGGGUAUUGACCCCCUGCUGUGCCGUAGCUAACGCAUUAAGUGCUCCGCCUGGGGACUACGGUCGCAAGACUA
Molecule: ribosomal RNA, 371 nt
Filed under: uncultured organism
Description: partial 16S ribosomal RNA
Rfam family: Bacterial small subunit ribosomal RNA
Source: RNAcentral